UCAGUAGAAUUUCCUUCGGUUUCAGCUUGUGUGUGUUGUUUGCUUUUGAGUCAGGUGAGUGGAUAAUUUUCCAUAUGCAUGAGAAAUAUUAUAAAUAUUUGAUUUGUUAAUAUGAAUUGGAUCAUGCUUCUUGAUAAUAUAUAUGCUGAUUAUUAUCCUUGAUAUGAUAAAGCAUGAUCAAUUAUUGAAUCUGAUUUCUUGAUAUGAACCAAUAUGAUUUGACUUCUGAAUUGAUAGCUCCUCAUUUGAUGGAUGUCAUGAGUUGAGCUUUGAGAUAUGAAUAUGUUUGUUUGAUUAUGAUUAUGAACCUAUGGUAUGUCAGUCAGAAUACCCAUGCUAACAGGGUAGUGUUAGUCUUUGUGCACAUCGUAUCUGAACCCUAGUUGGUCGGGGGAGUCACCAACCUGUGUGGACUGAUCAUCCCACAGUACGGAGCCUCAUGCUCAUUGCAUUUUGAUUUUCUGACGAGUUUUACCAUAUGAUAUUCUUGUUAUGGCCUAUUUGAUAAACUUUAUAAGAACUAAAGCCAUACUUGUAUAUAUAUUUCUCAUUGUUAUAUUACCUCGUAUGUGUAUAUUGAAUGUUAUCUACUCACUGAGUUGUUGAACUCACCCUCUCAUUAUUUAUCCUUUUCAGGCUUAUAGCUUGAUAGCAGGUUACUUUUGUUGAACCUUCCGAACCUGCCUUUUGGUUGUAAUUUGUACCUUCCUUUUGUGUCAAGUUAGUGCUCCAAAACUAUGAAAUUAUUAACUCUUGUAUUAAGACAAUCGAAUUAUAUUAUGAAGUUGUUUGUUGUUAAUUCUGCGUUAAACUCUGAUUGAGUUGUUUAAAGGAUUGUAUGUAAGUUUGGGUUCGCAUAGGUUUGGAACCUUGGAGGGGAACCUUGCCUAUGUGCCGGUCAUGGAUCCGGGAUUCGGGUCGUGACAAACUUGGUAUCAGAGCUUUAGGUUAAAGAAACAAUAAUAUAAUUAAUUUCAUAAUAAGUGGAGCAUUAGGAUCCGUAUCGUCUUGUUUGUUGUUUUUGACAUUUUAAAUUCUCAUCAAGUAUGUCUUCUUCCUUGUGAUAGAUAUGCUUUCCUAUAGUUCUGUGAUAAUUAUCAUGCUAUUGUUCUAGCAUGACUUAAGUGAUCUCUCUUUUAUUUUAGGAAAUGUCGAGGAAUAGACGAAGAACUGAUACUCUUAGGGUAGAUGAUGAUCAGGAUGAUGUCCCUAUUAUGCAGUUGAUAACUGCAAGGCAGAGAAGGAGGCGUGGUGCACCCGUGCCUCAACAUGUUGAUGAGGUACCUCCACCAGUGGAGGAAGAGCCUCAGGAGAUAGAAGAGGAAGAUAUGGUUGAUGAAAUAGGUGUGG
RNAcentral lists this long non-coding RNA (1350 nucleotides) under Populus tremula. Its description in RNAcentral is "long non-coding RNA (PTRE_LNC003077)". The record is from RNAcentral. Lineage: Eukaryota; Viridiplantae; Streptophyta; Magnoliopsida; Malpighiales; Salicaceae.